UCAAGCAAGGUUUCAGCACCUUGAUGAUCAAAUUGAAGGGGUUCAGGCACAGCUUGUAGAGCUAUACUACAAGGAUUAGAAGUAUUUUCAUGCUUUCUUUAUCAGUUUUAAAAUUCUGUAAUGCUGAACAAUUUGUCUUUAUCUUUUGGACUAUUAUGGUUAUGUUUCUGUUUUUUCCCUAUGCUUACAUGUUGUUUGAUGAAUCCAAAGGGGGAGAAAAAUAGCUCACCAUGCUAGGUGAAGCUAGCUGAAACAGGAAGUUCAAUUCUGCACCUUAAAACCAUUUCACAUGUUAUGCAAUGUUCUGUUUUUCUGGUUUAGUAUUUGAUGCAGUACAGGUUCUUAAAGCAACAAAGCUAUGGGGAUUUGUCUCCAUCAAACAGGGGGAGAUUGUUGAAGAUGGUUGCUGCCCCUUCAAGACAUGUGUUUGAUGAAGACUUUUAUGUACCAUUCGUGUAUAUUUCCUUUUGCUUUAAGAAUGUCUUAGGUAGAGUUUAGAGGUUGUUUAAGAGUGGGCUUUUUGCUGAGUAACUCACCUCCUAACCACUGGCCAUGUGAUAAGAACAAGCAUAAGGUUUCUUAAAUCGUUUUUCACAUGUUUUACAAAAAACACGUUUACCGCAUAAAAAUAAAUAUGUUCUUUUCUAAAUAAACAGAUUCAUUUUUAA
Molecule: long non-coding RNA, 668 nt
Filed under: Phaseolus vulgaris (common bean)
Lineage: Eukaryota; Viridiplantae; Streptophyta; Magnoliopsida; Fabales; Fabaceae
Description: long non-coding RNA (PVUL_LNC002329)
Source: RNAcentral